GGUGGAGUUCCUGUGUAGCCUGUCCAACAGUCACGAGUCAUAUGGUGAUGACUCUGCUCAGAAUUAUUUGAUUAGUUCAUCAUUACUCCCCACCAACAACAAGUCUGCUUUCACAAAGUCCAUUCUAAUCACAAGACCUAAACUGCAGAAGAAGACACAGGCUCAAAGAUAAGAUGGCUGGCCAAGACAUGGACGCUCAGUGGGAAGAAUACAAGGCGAAGUUCGAUAAAGUUUACGAACCGGAGGAGGACAAGAUGCGCAGAGAUCUAUGGGAGAAGACACUGCAGAAGAUCGAGACCCACAACAAGGAGGCAGAUGAGGGCAAGCAUACCUGGUGGAUGGGGUCAACCAGUUCACUGACAAGAGGCCAGAAGAAGUGUGUUGUGGGGGACUUCGUCCGUGUCAUCCUCCAAACCAAGGAGAGGACGGUGGUCAUUGAACUGAGAGGAACAGCCGCAAGGUCCCAGCUGUGAAUGAACAAUUGAGAAAUUUAACCACCGUACAUGUAUUCCACUGACUGCAAGAGCUCUGUUACUCAAAACGAUGCCAAAAACAUUCACACAAA
Molecule: long non-coding RNA, 565 nt
Filed under: Neogobius melanostomus (round goby)
Lineage: Eukaryota; Metazoa; Chordata; Actinopteri; Gobiiformes; Gobiidae
Description: lncRNA (ENSNMLG00000002086.1)
Source: RNAcentral